This 141-nucleotide ribosomal RNA is filed under the name uncultured bacterium. Its description in RNAcentral is "partial 16S ribosomal RNA". It matches the Rfam family "Bacterial small subunit ribosomal RNA", at positions 346 to 504 of the family's 1533-position model. The record is from RNAcentral.
AGGCAGCAGUGGGGAAUAUUGGACAAUGGGGGCAACCCUGAUCCAGCCAUGCCGCGUGAGUGAAGAAGGCCUUAGGGUUGUAAAGCUCUUUCGACGGGGAAGAUGAUGACGGUACCCGUAGAAGAAGCCCCGGCUAACUCC